This 207-nucleotide ribosomal RNA is filed under the name uncultured bacterium. RNAcentral describes it as "partial 16S ribosomal RNA". It matches the Rfam family "Bacterial small subunit ribosomal RNA", at positions 568 to 774 of the family's 1533-position model. The record is from RNAcentral.
AGCGUAGACGGCAGUGCAAGUCUGAAGUGAAAGCCCGGGGCUCAACCCCGGGACUGCUUUGGAAACUGUGCAGCUAGAGUGUCGGAGAGGCAAGCGGAAUUCCUAGUGUAGCGGUGAAAUGCGUAGAUAUUAGGAGGAACACCAGUGGCGAAGGCGGCUUGCUGGACGAUGACUGACGUUGAGGCUGAAAGCGUGGGGGAGCAAACA